This 478-nucleotide ribosomal RNA is filed under the name uncultured bacterium. Its description in RNAcentral is "partial 16S ribosomal RNA". It matches the Rfam family "Bacterial small subunit ribosomal RNA", at positions 28 to 523 of the family's 1533-position model. The record is from RNAcentral.
GACGAGCGCUGGCGGCGUGCUUAACACAUGCAAGUCGAGCGAUGAAGCUUCUUCGGAAGUGGAUUAGCGGCGGACGGGUGAGUAACACGUGGGUAACCUGCCUCAUAGAGGGGAAUAGCCUUCCGAAAGGAAGAUUAAUACCGCAUAAGAUUGUAGCUUCGCAUGAAGCAGCAAUUAAAGGAGCAAUCCGCUAUGAGAUGGACCCGCGUCGCAUUAGCUAGUUGGUGAGGUAACGGCUCACCAAGGCGACGAUGCGUAGCCGACCUGAGAGGGUGAGCGGCCACAUUGGGACUGAGACACGGCCCAGACUCCUACGGGAGGCAGCAGUGGGGAAUAUUGCACAAUGGGGGAAACCCUGAUGCAGCAACGCCGCGUGAGUGAUGACGGUCUUCGGAUUGUAAAGCUCUGUCUUUAGGGACGAUAAUGACGGUACCUAAGGAGGAAGCCACGGCUAACUACGUGCCAGCCGCCGCAGUAA